This 2940-nucleotide ribosomal RNA is filed under the name Priestia megaterium. RNAcentral describes it as "23S ribosomal RNA". It matches the Rfam family "Bacterial large subunit ribosomal RNA". The record is from RNAcentral. Lineage: Bacteria; Bacillati; Bacillota; Bacilli; Caryophanales; Bacillaceae.
AUGGUUAAGUUAGAAAGGGCGCACGGUGAAUGCCUUGGCACUAGGAGCCGAUGAAGGACGGGACUAACACCGAUAUGCUUCGGGGAGCUGUAAGUGAGCUUUGAUCCGGAGAUUUCCGAAUGGGGAAACCCACUGUUCGUAAUGGAACAGUAUCUUUAUCUGAAUACAUAGGAUAUUGAAGGCAGACCCGGGGAACUGAAACAUCUAAGUACCCGGAGGAAGAGAAAGCAAAUGCGAUUUCCUGAGUAGCGGCGAGCGAAACGGAAUUAGCCCAAACCAAGAGGCUUGCCUCUUGGGGUUGUAGGACACUCUAUACGGAGUUACAAAGGAACGAAGUAAAUGAAGCGACCUGGAAAGGUCCGUCGAAGAAGGUAACAACCCUGUAGUUGAAACUUCGUUCCCUCUUGAGUGGAUCCUGAGUACGGCGGAACACGUGAAAUUCCGUCGGAAGCUGGGAGGACCAUCUCCCAAGGCUAAAUACUACCUAGUGACCGAUAGUGAACCAGUACCGUGAGGGAAAGGUGAAAAGCACCCCGGAAGGGGAGUGAAAGAGAUCCUGAAACCGUGUGCCUACAAGUAGUCAGAGCCCGUUAACGGGUGAUGGCGUGCCUUUUGUAGAAUGAACCGGCGAGUUACGAUCCCAUGCAAGGUUAAGCUGAUAAGGCGGAGCCGUAGCGAAAGCGAGUCUGAAUAGGGCGUUUAGUAUGUGGUUGUAGACCCGAAACCAGGUGAUCUACCCAUGUCCAGGGUGAAGUUCAGGUAACACUGAAUGGAGGCCCGAACCCACGCACGUUGAAAAGUGCGGGGAUGAGGUGUGGGUAGCGGAGAAAUUCCAAUCGAACCUGGAGAUAGCUGGUUCUCUCCGAAAUAGCUUUAGGGCUAGCCUCAUGUUGUGAGAGUCUUGGAGGUAGAGCACUGAUUGGACUAGGGGCCCCCAACGGGUUACCGAAUUCAGUCAAACUCCGAAUGCCAAAGACUUAUCCAUGGGAGUCAGACUGCGAGUGAUAAGAUCCGUAGUCAAAAGGGAAACAGCCCAGACCACCAGCUAAGGUCCCCAAGUAUACGUUAAGUGGAAAAGGAUGUGGAGUUGCUUAGACAACCAGGAUGUUGGCUUAGAAGCAGCCACCAUUUAAAGAGUGCGUAAUAGCUCACUGGUCGAGUGACUCUGCGCCGAAAAUGUACCGGGGCUAAACGUAUCACCGAAGCUGUGGAUUGACAUCUUAGAUGUCAGUGGUAGGAGAGCGUUCUAAGUGCUGUGAAGUCAGACCGUAAGGACUGGUGGAGCGCUUAGAAGUGAGAAUGCCGGUAUGAGUAGCGAAAGACAAGUGAGAAUCUUGUCCACCGAAUGCCUAAGGUUUCCUGAGGAAGGCUCGUCCGCUCAGGGUUAGUCGGGACCUAAGCCGAGGCUGAAAAGCGUAGGCGAUGGCCAACAGGUUGAUAUUCCUGUACCACCUCCCCGCCGUUUGAGUAAUGGGGGGACGCAGUAGGAUAGGGUAAGCGCGCUGCUGGAUAUGCGCGUUCAAGCAGUUAGGCUGAUGAGUAGGCAAAUCCGCUCAUCAUAAAGGCUGAGCUGUGAUGACGAGGGAAUUAUAGUACCGAAGUUCCUGAUUCCACACUGCCAAGAAAAGCCUCUAGCGAGGCGGGAGGUGCCCGUACCGCAAACCGACACAGGUAGGCGAGGAGAGAAUCCUAAGGUGAUCGAGAGAACUCUCGUUAAGGAACUCGGCAAAAUGACCCCGUAACUUCGGGAGAAGGGGUGCUCUGGUAGGGUGUAUAGCCCGAGAGAGCCGCAGUGAAUAGGCCCAGGCGACUGUUUAGCAAAAACACAGGUCUCUGCGAAGCCGCAAGGCGAAGUAUAGGGGCUGACGCCUGCCCGGUGCUGGAAGGUUAAGAGGAGGGGUUAUCCUUUAGGAGAAGCUCUGAAUCGAAGCCCCAGUAAACGGCGGCCGUAACUAUAACGGUCCUAAGGUAGCGAAAUUCCUUGUCGGGUAAGUUCCGACCCGCACGAAAGGCGUAACGAUCUGGGCACUGUCUCAACGAGAGACUCGGUGAAAUUAUAGUACCUGUGAAGAUGCAGGUUACCCGCGACAGGACGGAAAGACCCCGUGGAGCUUUACUGUAGCCUGAUAUUGAAUUUUGGUACAGCUUGUACAGGAUAGGUAGGAGCCUGAGAAGCCGGAGCGCUAGCUUCGGUGGAGGCGUCGGUGGGAUACUACCCUGGCUGUAUUGAAAUUCUAACCCGCGGCCCUGAUCGGGCCGGGAGACAGUGUCAGGUGGGCAGUUUGACUGGGGCGGUCGCCUCCUAAAAUGUAACGGAGGCGCCCAAAGGUUCCCUCAGAAUGGUUGGAAAUCAUUCGUAGAGUGUAAAGGCACAAGGGAGCUUGACUGCGAGACCUACAAGUCGAGCAGGGACGAAAGUCGGGCUUAGUGAUCCGGUGGUUCCGCAUGGAAGGGCCAUCGCUCAACGGAUAAAAGCUACCCCGGGGAUAACAGGCUUAUCUCCCCCAAGAGUCCACAUCGACGGGGAGGUUUGGCACCUCGAUGUCGGCUCAUCGCAUCCUGGGGCUGUAGUCGGUCCCAAGGGUUGGGCUGUUCGCCCAUUAAAGCGGUACGCGAGCUGGGUUCAGAACGUCGUGAGACAGUUCGGUCCCUAUCCGUCGUGGGCGUAGGAAAUUUGAGAGGAGCUGUCCUUAGUACGAGAGGACCGGGAUGGACACACCGCUGGUGUACCAGUUGUCUUGCCAAAGGCAUCGCUGGGUAGCUAUGUGUGGACGGGAUAAGUGCUGAAAGCAUCUAAGCAUGAAGCCCCCCUCAAGAUGAGAUUUCCCAUAGCGCAAGCUAGUAAGAUCCCUGAAAGAUGAUCAGGUUGAUAGGUCAGAGGUGGAAGCGUGGCGACAUGUGUAGCUGACUGAUACUAAUCGAUCGAGGACUUAACCAAAA